RNAcentral lists this ribosomal RNA (400 nucleotides) under uncultured bacterium. Its description in RNAcentral is "bacterial SSU rRNA". It matches the Rfam family "Bacterial small subunit ribosomal RNA", at positions 356 to 773 of the family's 1533-position model. The record is from RNAcentral.
GGGGAAUAUUGGACAAUGGGGGAAACCCUGAUCCAGCGAUGCCGCGUGAGUGAAGAAGGCCUUCGGGUUGUAAAGCUCUUUCACCUGAGACGAUAAUGACGGUAUCAGGAGAAGAAGCACCGGCUAACUCUGUGCCAGCAGCCGCGGUAAUACAGAGGGUGCUAGCGUUGUUCGGAAUGACUGGGCGUAAAGGGCGCGUAGGCGGCUUUUUAAGUCAGGCGUGAAAGCCCCGGGCUCAACCUGGGAAUAGCGUUUGAUACUGGAAGGCCUGAGUGCGGAAGAGGAGAGUGGAAUUCCUAGUGUAGAAGUGAAAUUCGUAGAUAUUAGGAGGAACACCGGAGGCGAAGGCGGCUCUCUGGUCCGCAACUGACGCUGAGGCGCGAAAGCGUGGGGAGCAAAC